This 2716-nucleotide ribosomal RNA is filed under the name Klebsiella pneumoniae. Its description in RNAcentral is "bacterial LSU rRNA". It matches the Rfam family "Bacterial large subunit ribosomal RNA". Lineage: Bacteria; Pseudomonadati; Pseudomonadota; Gammaproteobacteria; Enterobacterales; Enterobacteriaceae. The record is from RNAcentral.
GGGAACUGAAACAUCUAAGUACCCCGAGGAAAAGAAAUCAACCGAGAUUCCCCCAGUAGCGGCGAGCGAACGGGGAGCAGCCCAGAGUCUGAAUCAGCUUGUGUGUUAGUGGAACGGUCUGGAAAGUCCGACGGUACAGGGUGAUAGUCCCGUACACCAAAAUGCACAGGUUGUGAACUCGAAGAGUAGGGCGGGACACGUGGUAUCCUGUCUGAAUAUGGGGGGACCAUCCUCCAAGGCUAAAUACUCCUGACUGACCGAUAGUGAACCAGUACCGUGAGGGAAAGGCGAAAAGAACCCCGGCGAGGGGAGUGAAAAAGAACCUGAAACCGUGUACGUACAAGCAGUGGGAGCACCUUCGGGUGUGACUGCGUACCUUUUGUAUAAUGGGUCAGCGACUUAUAUUCUGUAGCAAGGUUAACCGUAUAGGGGAGCCGCAGGGAAACCGAGUCUUAACUGGGCGUUAAGUUGCAGGGUAUAGACCCGAAACCCGGUGAUCUAGCCAUGGGCAGGUUGAAGGUUGGGUAACACUAACUGGAGGACCGAACCGACUAAUGUUGAAAAAUUAGCGGAUGACUUGUGGCUGGGGGGGAAAGGCCAAUCAAACCGGGAGAUAGCUGGUUCUCCCCGAAAGCUAUUUAGGUAGCGCCUCGUGAACUCAUCUUCGGGGGUAGAGCACUGUUUCGGCUAGGGGGUCAUCCCGACUUACCAACCCGAUGCAAACUACGAAUACCGAAGAAUGUUAUCACGGGAGACACACGGCGGGUGCUAACGUCCGUCGUGAAGAGGGAAACAACCCAGACCGCCAGCUAAGGUCCCAAAGUCAUGGUUAAGUGGGAAACGAUGUGGGAAGGCACAGACAGCCAGGAUGUUGGCUUAGAAGCAGCCAUCAUUUAAAGAAAGCGUAAUAGCUCACUGGUCGAGUCGGCCUGCGCGGAAGAUGUAACGGGGCUAAACCAUGCACCGAAGCUGCGGCAGCGACACUAUGUGUUGUUGGGUAGGGGAGCGUUCUGUAAGCCUGCGAAGGUGUGCUGUGAGGCAUGCUGGAGGUAUCAGAAGUGCGAAUGCUGACAUAAGUAACGAUAAAGCGGGUGAAAAGCCCGCUCGCCGGAAGACCAAGGGUUCCUGUCCAACGUUAAUCGGGGCAGGGUGAGUCGACCCCUAAGGCGAGGCCGAAAGGCGUAGUCGAUGGGAAACAGGUUAAUAUUCCUGUACUUGGUGUUACUGCGAAGGGGGGACGGAGAAGGCUAUGUUAGCCGGGCGACGGUUGUCCCGGUUUAAGCAUGUAGGCUGGUUAUCCAGGCAAAUCCGGAUAAUCAAGGCUGAGGUGUGAUGACGAGGCACUACGGUGCUGAAGUAACAAAUGCCCUGCUUCCAGGAAAAGCCUCUAAGCAUCAGGUAACAUCAAAUCGUACCCCAAACCGACACAGGUGGUCAGGUAGAGAAUACCAAGGCGCUUGAGAGAACUCGGGUGAAGGAACUAGGCAAAAUGGUGCCGUAACUUCGGGAGAAGGCACGCUGGUGUGUAGGUGAAGCCCCUGCGGGUGGAGCUGAGACCAGUCGAAGAUACCAGCUGGCUGCAACUGUUUAUUAAAAACACAGCACUGUGCAAACACGAAAGUGGACGUAUACGGUGUGACGCCUGCCCGGUGCCGGAAGGUUAAUUGAUGGGGUUAUCCGUAAGGAGAAGCUCUUGAUCGAAGCCCCGGUAAACGGCGGCCGUAACUAUAACGGUCCUAAGGUAGCGAAAUUCCUUGUCGGGUAAGUUCCGACCUGCACGAAUGGCGUAAUGAUGGCCAGGCUGUCUCCACCCGAGACUCAGUGAAAUUGAACUCGCUGUGAAGAUGCAGUGUACCCGCGGCAAGACGGAAAGACCCCGUGAACCUUUACUAUAGCUUGACACUGAACAUUGAGCCUUGAUGUGUAGGAUAGGUGGGAGGCUUUGAAGCGUGGACGCCAGUCUGCGUGGAGCCAACCUUGAAAUACCACCCUUUAAUGUUUGAUGUUCUAACGUUGGCCCCUGACCGGGGUUGCGGACAGUGUCUGGUGGGUAGUUUGACUGGGGCGGUCUCCUCCCAAAGCGUAACGGAGGAGCACGAAGGUUAGCUAAUCCUGGUCGGACAUCAGGAGGUUAGUGCAAUGGCAUAAGCUAGCUUGACUGCGAGCGUGACGGCGCGAGCAGGUGCGAAAGCAGGUCAUAGUGAUCCGGUGGUUCUGAAUGGAAGGGCCAUCGCUCAACGGAUAAAAGGUACUCCGGGGAUAACAGGCUGAUACCGCCCAAGAGUUCAUAUCGACGGCGGUGUUUGGCACCUCGAUGUCGGCUCAUCACAUCCUGGGGCUGAAGUAGGUCCCAAGGGUAUGGCUGUUCGCCAUUUAAAGUGGUACGCGAGCUGGGUUUAGAACGUCGUGAGACAGUUCGGUCCCUAUCUGCCGUGGGCGCUGGAGAAUUGAGGGGGGCUGCUCCUAGUACGAGAGGACCGGAGUGGACGCAUCACUGGUGUUCGGGUUGUCAUGCCAAUGGCACUGCCCGGUAGCUAAAUGCGGAAGAGAUAAGUGCUGAAAGCAUCUAAGCACGAAACUUGCCCCGAGAUGAGUUCUCCCUGAGACUUUAAGUCUCCUGAAGGAACGUUAAAGACGAUGACGUUGAUAGGCCGGGUGUGUAAGCGCAGCGAUGCGUUGAGCUAACCGGUACUAAUGAACCGUGAGGCUUAACCUU